Non-coding RNA from Marmota flaviventris (yellow-bellied marmot), 379 nucleotides. The record is from RefSeq and is a predicted model, not a curated record. Lineage: Eukaryota; Metazoa; Chordata; Mammalia; Rodentia; Sciuridae.
CUUGCUUGUCACCUGUCUCACCUCACUGCAGAUCUCCUCUGAGGCUCAGAAGAGAGUCUCCGAGCAGGAGUGCUGUGAGCAAUGGCCCUGGUGAAGACAAAGAAGAGCCCUGAGCAGAGACGGCCUCGACAGACUGGAAUCCAAUGAGCCAGCGUGCUGACGCAGAGCAAGUCCACGGUUUCAACAGGCGCAAGACCCCAAGCUGCUGCCAGCCCACCACGAGACCUCUGGUGGGUAGAGCUCCCCCCACCCACAGGCAAGGAAGAGAGAAUCUCAUCAGAUGUGGCUGUACUUCACAGGGGUAGGAAAACACAUGGAAGUCAAAAGAAUCUCAGCGGUCACUUUUUUAAAUAUAUUUUUUAGUUGUGGAUGGAUACAA